CCAGACUCCUACGGGAGGCAGCAGUGGGGAAUAUUGCACAAUGGGCGAAAGCCUGAUGCAGCAACGCCGCGUGAAGGAAGAAGGGUUUCGGCUCGUAAACUUCUAUCAACAGGGACGAAAGAAAUGACGGUACCUGAAUAAGAAGCCCCGGCUAACUACGUGCCAGCAGCCGCGGUAAUACGGGGGGUGCAAGCGUUGUCCGGAAUCAUUGGGCGUAAAGAGUUCGUAGGCGGCACGUAAAGUCUGGUGUUAAAGGCAGAGGCUCAACUUCUGUACGGCACUGGAUACUUGCGAGCUAGAAUGCGGUAGAGGUAAAGGGAAUUCCUGGUGUAGCGGUGAAAUGCUUAGAUAUCAGGAGGAACAUCGGUGGCGUAAGCGCUUUACUGGGCCGUAAUUGACGCUGAGGAACGAAAGCCAGGGUAGCAAAUGGGAUUAGAUACCCUAGUA
This 447-nucleotide ribosomal RNA is filed under the name uncultured bacterium. RNAcentral's name for it is "bacterial SSU rRNA". It matches the Rfam family "Bacterial small subunit ribosomal RNA", at positions 331 to 792 of the family's 1533-position model. The record is from RNAcentral.